This 927-nucleotide long non-coding RNA is filed under the name Apteryx rowi (Okarito brown kiwi). Its description in RNAcentral is "lncRNA (ENSARWG00000015203.1)". The record is from RNAcentral. Lineage: Eukaryota; Metazoa; Chordata; Aves; Apterygiformes; Apterygidae.
GGUCGGCGAACGAGUGUCUGAAGCAGAGACCCUGGCGCGGCUGGGGCAGGACUUUACUGGCCACUUGCUGUCGACCCGCCUUGUGUGCGCCAUGAAGCGCAAGGCCCCCGACUCAAGGGAGGAGGCCUGUGUGCUGUGUUGCCGGGCCGAUUCGGACCCAGAGAGGUAUGGGGAGAAAUGGCGGAAGGAUGGUCUCUAUGCCCAUGAGACUUGCCUGUAUCUUGCCAGCGGGCUCCCUGUGAGACACACCAGUGAGACAGGAACCGACAAGUUCCUUCCGGCGGAUAUCAGGCGUGCAGUGAAGCAGACAACUCGGAAGAUGAAGAGCUAGCAGGGGCGUGGGGAGGUUUGUGGUGGCAUGGGUUUGUGCGGGCUCAGCCUGGCCCAUGGGAAGGCAAUCCUGGGGUUUUCCGUCAGUCCCAGGAGCUCCAGAGAGGAUCCAGGAGAAGCCGGAAGUCCAGUCCCUGAGCUCUGCUACGUCUGUGGUGAGCGCGGGGCCAUCACUAGCUGCCGGCAGAAGGGCUGCAAGCGCAGCUUCCACUUCCCGUGCGGCUGYRAAGAYGGCUGCGUCUCGCAGUUCUUUGGGCAGUACAGGUCCUUCUGCCGGGAACAUCUCCCGGAGCAAAGAGUGCAGGCGCAGCUGGAUGGGGAGACCUUCUGCCUCAUUUGUCUGGAGCCCGUGGAGGAAAAGCUCUCCCGCCACACUCUGGUGUGCCCUGCAUGUACGCACACGUGGUUCCACCAGGGCUGCAUCCAGACAACCCACGUGGGAGGCAGASGGUGCCUUUGCCGAGYUGUAYGAGAGGCACCGUSGAUGUGAYGCCAGCCGGUGUCUUYGUGCGCGYGGCCGAGAAGAGGCAGCAGAAGAGGGGUAAGUCAGCAAAGCUGCAAUUUCCCCMCUGCCCACRUGGCRGCAGGUGCCUUGGU